UGGGGAAUAUUGCACAAUGGGCGAAAGCCUGAUGCAGCGACGCCGCGUGAGGGAUGACGGCCUUCGGGUUGUAAACCUCUUUCAGCAGGGACGAAGCGCAAGUGACGGUACCUGCAGAAGAAGCACCGGCUAACUACGUGCCAGCAGCCGCGGUAAUACGUAGGGUGCAAGCGUUGUCCGGAAUUACUGGGCGUAAAGAGUUCGUAGGCGGUUUGUCGCGUCGUUUGUGAAAACCAGCAGCUCAACUGCUGGCUUGCAGGCGAUACGGGCAGACUUGAGUACUGCAGGGGAGACUGGAAUUCCUGGUGUAGCGGCGAAAUGCGCAGAUAUCAGGAGGAACACCGGUGGCGAAGGCGGGUCUCUGGGCAGUAACUGACGCUGAGGAACUAAAGCGUGGGUAGCGAACAGG
This 409-nucleotide ribosomal RNA is filed under the name bacterium. RNAcentral describes it as "partial 16S ribosomal RNA". It matches the Rfam family "Bacterial small subunit ribosomal RNA", at positions 355 to 776 of the family's 1533-position model. The record is from RNAcentral.